Molecule: long non-coding RNA, 7461 nt
Filed under: Anthonomus grandis grandis
Lineage: Eukaryota; Metazoa; Arthropoda; Insecta; Coleoptera; Curculionidae
Description: uncharacterized LOC126744820
Source: RNAcentral
AAUUGGAAAAUGUGACAUAUUUUAAACACAGUUAUUAAAGUUGCAUCAUAUUAAGCAAACGUUUUUAAAUUGUAUAUUAUAAACAAAAAAUUAUUUAAGGAUUAUUAUUUAUAUAAAUAUAUAAAAACUAAAUGUGUUAUAGUAAAAAAAUAUAAAAGUUUGUAUUGUAAGAAUAAUAACUACACUUGUCAGUUAUGUGUAAUAACUGCAUGUGACAACGUGCUUUUAAAAGUUAGAUAUUAUAUUAUAAUUAAAAACCGUUUAUUCUUCUUUUGAUUUAUGUUUAUUAUUAGGUGCAGAUGUUUAUACAAUAUAAACAGUGGCGUUAACAUUAAAUAGAUGGUAUAAAAUUCGAGUACAGGGCAGUGGGUAGAUUAUUUUUUAAUUUCAUGAUAAAUGUACGACGAGAUACGUUAGGGAUAAUAUUGGAUAAAUGUUGUGUGAUUUUUAUUAUUUAUGCACCGUUGACAAAGUUAUGCAACUAUAUGUGGUAAUAAAUGGGAUAAACAAAACAAAAGUAAAAAAUCUUAUUUCUUAAGCAUUAUAUAUAAAAUAGCUAUGUUACAAGUGAUGUGUCCUGAGAAAUUUUUAAAAGAAACGAACUAAUAUUCCUUAUCACUUUCAUAUAAAUUUUAAAAUAAACCAUUUGUUUUCUACCACCAUAGCUUUAAAACUUUUUAAAAUAUGUAAAUAUUGAUUAUGCCAAGAAAGGUAAAAACAUUAAAUGUUAGAUGGACUAAUAAAGGAUAUGGGCCUCUUAAAAAAAGCCAACCCUACACAAACUCAGUUUUCUUGUUUUAGGAAUAAUUUAAAUGCAGUCAAAGUUGGUCAAAUAAAGCGUGUUUCUGAUAUAAAAGUUUAUUCCUUGCAUAGAUGUGUCUCAGAUAGCAGUGUUUUCUUGAGUGUUAUUUUUCUUUUCUACAUCGACAAUUCUGUUAUAAAUUUUUUUCGGCACUCACAAGGUUUAAUUUCUAAUUACCUUACAGAAAUUAACACGUUUUUGUAGUUCAUAUUUUGACAGAUACGUCAUAUGAAAAAGCAUUUUGAAAUAUUUAAUAAAUAGGCACAAGAUAAACUACAUCUGAAAAGGGACAGAAUAAACUCAUGUUACGGCUUAAGGGUGAAAACCAAUUCUGGGAAGAGAGUCUGUUUAUAUUCCACAGAGGUGAAGGGCAGUCAAAAAGCUCAACACAGAUUGGAAAGGUCCAUUUCAUGAGGCCACCAGAAUUAGCGAGGUGAAGUUCCGGAUCUAGCGACGUUCGAUAAUGAAGAUUGUAAACAUCGUCUGGCCACCACCGUGGUCUUCUGGCCGUGGGCCACACAGGUGGACUCCUCUUUGACCCUGGAGGUCUUGAUUGAUCGGGACAAUUAUACUGGUGAGGGAAGCAGUAUUGUAAAAAUAGUUUUAUGUCAAAAACUCACCCUUUUCGUUUAUAAUGUCAGAUUAUCCCUUUCAAGUGACUCACAUUGACCAUCGUUUAAUUGCUUUCAAGAUGAACAACAAGACUGAUUAAAAUAUCACAAAACGCGAUCCCUGAUAAAGACCCAUGGAAUAAUUUAAAAAUUGAUAGAAAUUUCUACACUAUUUUUUUCUAUAGAAAUUAACAAUUUUAAGACAACACUGAUAGUCAAAGCACAUUAGUUACAAAGUUUGAAAAUUGAAACUACCAGGAAUUACAAUAAAAUAGCCUAAAAUGAAGUUAUAUAAUAAUUAGCGCAUUUACAUUUUCAUAGCCCUGCUCCCUUCUGAAGUUUGUGCAAUGGUAUUCAUCAAUCAAUCAACCUUCAAGGUGUUUACAAUUUUCAUCUUCGUUGUUAGACGUCGCUAUAUUCGGUACAUCACGUUAUUAAUUUUAAUGUCCACAUGAAAUAAACCUCCCAAUCCCUCUAGAACUUUGGUGUCUUGCCGUUCAUUCUCCGUGAAUUAUAUAACCAGACUUUGUCCCUUAGAUAAAGACCAAUAAAAUUCGCCUUUAUCACCGCGUCAUCAGUUAAAGUUUAUGCAAUGUCUAUUCAGGGACCAUUUGCAAACGCUUUUGAAGCUGGUCGACGUAAUCUUUAAGGCUUUCAUCUUUCUCGGGUCUCCCAAUAAUAAUGUCCAAAGGAACACGAAGUUUAUCACCGAAGAUGACUUUUGUCGUGCUUUUUUUCAGUAGACUCGUGGAUAGAAGAACAAUAUACCAAUAGGAAUGGUUGUAUACAGGUAUCCCAGUUCGUUUGCUUGAGGUUUACCAAAAUUCUCAAGUGGGUUUUAAGAUUGCGAUUAAAUCAUUCAAGCGUUCUAUCAGAAUGAGGCUGUAGGGUGGUUAUGCGAGCCUUAUUAAUUACCAGUCACUGACGUACUUGUUGCUUAGAGUUCCUUCUUUCGUCUCUGUCUGGGGAUAUUAAAUGAGCAUAUUCAGUUUUGGAACAGCAUCUCAAGUGCUUUAGUUGCUUCUUGGUUUAAAAUAAAAUAAUCCUUGAGCCACUUACUAAAGUAAUCCAUAGCAAAAAGAACAUAUCGAUGGCCAUUCGUUUAAAGGAUACACCAACAAUAUACUGCAUCAUUUUUCAUUUGGUGCGAAUUCUUGGACCCUUGGGUGAAGCACAUUCCUUGCAUUGUCUUGAUUUUGUUCAUUAAGACGUCGCAAUUUAAUGUCACUCUGGUAUAGAUCAGAGUAUCUUUUAUUUCGAUUUUCGAAGGUUGUCUUUUCUCGGACUCACUCACUACAAGAGGUAAUGCAAUUCUUUGUUAAAUAGGUAUAUAAGGGAUAAAAAAACUGUAGAUGCCUGUUAAAAUAUAAGUUUGCUGCCUGAAGAGAAUUUUCACUACUAUCUUAUGAAGACAAUAUUUUUUUUAAAUUGCUAGUUUCCUAUUUAUCUGUCAUUCUCUCGCGGCCUUCUUAAAAACAUAGAGAUGCAUUUGUCUACAUGUCCUACUGUUAAAAUUAGAAUGAUAGGUAAUCAUUUUACGAAAAUUGUAGUUGAGUAUUAAAAAUAUACAGACAGUUAUUAUAAAUUUAUUUUUUAUCUCAAAAUCCUUAAUUAUUAUCAAUAAACAAACAGAUUAUAUAAUCGUGUUCUACGGAAAAACCCCAUCAAAGACAUUUUUUACUUCUUCACUCAGUAGAUUAAAAACUAUGACAGCUGUCAAAUUUUUGACAAAAAAUGCGAAACUCGCUUUUUAUAUAUAGUAACAGAGAUAACGAAGCUUUAUAUAUAGUAACAGAGAUAAGCUACAUAAGUGUCCAAAGUGGAUACCCUAUUCUCUACAGGAAGAUAUGUAUUAAUAUGUAUUAAUAAAGAUUUCUUAACAAAAUAUGUAAAGACCUAUAGCUCUACUAAUCCAGAACCUAUUUCUUUCUGGUCUCUUUCAUAAAAAAUGAAUAACGUUUUUGAAAUUUUGUAAAUAUUUAUUGAUUCUACUUAAAAUGGAAAUUUGUUUAGUUUUAUAUGAAAUGUACACAGUGGCAGACGUUUAUUUAUAAUAGCUAAGAAAUGUGAUAAAGAAAAACAAUAUGGGCCCUCGCCGUAUUAUAGCCUACUGGCGUAGCAAAUGAGAGCAGCGGAAAAAAUUGAAUUUUGUCAAUAUAUCAAUCUAUUUAGAACUAUACAUAUAAUCUCAACUUCAUAUAUGAGACAGAUACACAUUCCCAUGCAUCACAAUUGGUGUACCCAAUCCAACUCCAAAAACUUGGUUUCCGACGGACUUCGACACGGCGUAUUUGCUAUUUGCUCGGUGCUUGGUUGACACAUUAAUUUUAUAUGAGCCCUAACAACUAUAUAUUGGAACAAGUAGUCUUAGUAAUUCUUUUAAUUUAUUUAAAAAUAAUAAAUUAAUAACAUUUUUUAUGUUUUAGAGAAUUAUUUUUAAGGUUUAAUAAAAUUUUGAUGUUAAAUAAUAUUUAUUUAAUUGUUUGAUAAUCAAAAAAUGUUGACAACUAAAUGUUGGAACAUGGGUUGCUUUAGCUCAAAAUUUUCCAGUUAUAUUAGCAUGACGCGAAGAUGGCUUUGAAUAAACAAAAGUAAGUAGUGCGUUGUCAACAAUAAAAAUUUUGAUGCGUCACUUGACCAUUAAUAAUCAAUUACUGUCAUUUUUAUGACGAGUAAAAUACAAUAAUGGGUCGUGGAAAACCUACUGAUCUAAAAGUGCGAGAAAUUAUUAUCCGGCAGUACCAUAAAGGGAAAACAAUGCGAGAAAUCUCCAGUGAAUAAAAUGUUGCAAUAACUACUAUAUUUAAUAUAAUUAAAAAAUAUGGUGAAACUGCCAGUAUUGGUGUUCGAGGCAAAAGUUCAGGACGUCCAAAAGUUGUUUCUCAAAGAAAUGUAAGGAACUUGAUUAAAAUUUGUAAGUCGGGAAGAAGAAAUACUCUACGAGAAGUAACUGCAAGGUGGAAUAGAGAAAGUGGGAUAAAUGUUUCCAGAGAAUGCUGCCGCAAAUAUAUCCACAAGAGCGGUCUUAGUUUUUAUAAGGCCAAAGAAAAACCAUUGAUAACGGAUACUCAAAAAAGGAAUCGUUACAUUUGGGCCAAAUCAAAACUCUCGUGGAACAAAGAAAAUUGGAGCAAAGUUAUUUAUAGCGAAAUUUGAUGUCUGUGUUGGGAAAGCCUGUGAUUCGGGACAAAACAGAAGCAUUCCAUAAGGAUUGUCUUAAAAGGACUGUAAAGUUUCCACAGGGCAUCAUGGUGUGGGGUUGUAUGUCAGCUAAAGGGUUGGGAACGUUACACUUUAUUGAUGGCAUAGUAAAUGCAGAAAAAUAUCAAGACAUUCUCGAACAUUCGCUUUUACCAAGUGCAGCAAAUUUAUAUCCAUCUGGAGAUUUUAUCUUUCAACAGGACGGUGCCUCAUGUCAUACUGCUAAAUCUACCAAAAAAUGGAUGGGGGAACAUAAUAUGAAAGUUUUGUCACACCCCUCUAGCAACCCGGAUCUCAAUCCAAUCGAAACACUUUGGCACAAAAUGAAGCAACGCCUAAGAAAUAGUCCGCAGCGUACUUUGCCACAACUACGUGCUAAACUACAGGAAAUAUGGGAUAGUUUCACCCCUGAAUUUUGUGAAGGUCUAGUUGGUACAAUGCCUCAUAGAGUCCAGGCUGUUAUUCAAGCUAAGGGCGACGUUACGCCUUACUAAUUCGUAUUUUCCUUUUUUAAAACUCACUUGUUCCAAUAUUUAGUUGUCUUUGUUCAAUUAUUUUUCAAUAAUUUACCAAGUAAUUAAAUACUAAAUAACUUAAAAUAUAUAAAUAAAUUAUAAAAACAAUAUUAAACAUUAUAAAAAAGCUUGUUCAUUUCAUAUUUAUGAUUAAAAAAAAUUUAAUAAAAAAUUUUCGCUAAAUGGGUAUUUUAUUUUAAAAAAACCGCUUGUUCCAACAUAUAGUUGUUAGGGCUCGUAUAAUAAAGUGGCAUGUGAGGGCCCAAUUUUUUUAUUUAAAAAUUUUUUGAGGUUCAAGCAGCAGGGCCGCCAAAAAAUGUGAAUAUUUUUCUUUGUUUGUAUUUUUUCUUGUGUUCUUAAAACAAAAACUCUUUUUAUAAAAAUAUUCUUUCAAAAUAAGGGCAACUUGCUUACAAGCUGCUACUUUAUUAUUACAAACUUAAACUUGAGGCUGAACCCUGCAGCCCUCCUUCACAAGUUCCAGCUCUAUUUUUAAUUUAGACAGUGACCGCCUAAAGUUCCGCAUGUUAUAAAUACUGCCAAUUGUUUCUAUUUUCACGGUUGUACUUGUAAAGAAUCUCCGUUUUCGAAUGUCACUGUCAGUUCGAAAAUUAAUAGUUUUUAUCAGAAUAAAUUAUGGCUAAUUUAACGGAAACCCAACGAAUUGAAAUUUUAAUGAUGCUAGGGUACGGGGAUCGAGUGCGCACGCAAAAAGAAGUAAGUAAACUGUUUAAUGCCAAAUACCCAAACCAUCCUAUUUCUCAGUCAACAGUUAGUAGAAUAGAGCACAAAUUCAUAACUUCAGGUCAUAUUAGGGAUUUGCCAAGAUCAGGUCGUCCAAAAAUGUCUGACAAAACAAAAUUAAACGUUCUGCUCUCCGGCGAAGAAAAUCCAAAUAAUGCAACUUCACAAAUUUCAGAUGAUAAUGAUAUAGCCGGAACGUCAGUAAGACGCAUCUUAAAAGCAAAUGAAUACCACCAUGAAAUGAAAAUAUUAUAAACUGUAAAAACCCUUAUUAAUGUACCAAGUGUUCAAACUGAUCCCCAUUUACUUCUUGGCAGAAAGCAAGACGGUUUACAAACUCAUGUAAAACACUAUCAAUUAUUUCGGGUGAUAUACGUCUAAUUUCAUAUCUAAUUCUAUUUUUCAAAUCUUUUACGAUGUUUGGCUUCUCAAUAUAAACUUUACUUUUCAGGUACCCCCCAUAGAAAAUAGUCGCAGGGAUUUAGGUCUGGUGACCUGGCCGGCCACUCUAUUCGCCCUCUUCGUCCAUCUUCAAUUACCACAAAUUAUCUGUCGGGAGAGCAGGGUCUUGCUCGUCUGGGUAUAGGGCAGUCAAAGCAGGGAUAAGAUCUUAAAGAAAAUUCAAAUAGUGUUGUCCUGUUAAGUUUUCUUCGCAAGUAUGGCCUUAUUACUUUAUUUUCCACGAUACCAGCCCCUAAUAUUAAUUGAUUUACGGUACUGUGUAUGACCCUCAGUUGCCCAGUGUGGAUUUGACACUGACCAGUACCGACAAUUUUGCCGAUUUGCCGACGAAACCGUUUAAACAAAGAGAUGCUUCAUCCAAAAACAAAACUCGCAACACAAAUUGACGGUUAUUAUUGCAAAUGUUCAUCAUUUGCUUGCAAAAUUGGUUUCUUCGAUCAGGACCCUCCUCAUUUAAUUCGCGUAUUAGUCUAAUUUUAUAAGGGUGGUAUUCAUUUGCUUUUAAGAUGCGUCUUACUGACGUUCCGGCUAUAUUAUUAUCAACUGAAAUAUGUGAAGUUGCAUUAUUUGGAUUUUCUUCGCCGGAGAGCAGAACGUUUAAUUUUGUUUUGUCAGACAUUUCUGGACGACCUGAUCUUGGCAAAUCCCUAAUAUGACCUGAAGUUAUGAAUUUGUGCUCUAUUCUACUAACUGUGGACUGAGAAAUAGGAUGGUUUGGGUAUUUGGCAUUAAACAGUUCACUUACUUCUUUUUGCGUGCGCACUCGAUCCACGUACUCUAGUAUCAUCAAAAUUUCAAUUCGUUGGGUUUCCGUUAAAUUAGCCAUAAUUUAUUCUGAUAAAAACUAUUAAUUUUCGAACUGACAGUGACAUUCGAAAAUUGAGAUUCUUUACUAAGUUCAACCAUGGAAAUAGAAACAAUUGGCAGUAUUUAUAACAUUAUUUUUAUCCUCGAUUUUACCUUAAUUUGUAAAUAGACGUACUUAUUUGUUUUUUUGUUAUUUAAAUGUAAAUAUUUCGGAAACAGUUGAGUUUUGAGAUAAGGUGUGUUAUACAAAACUUGCUUGGAAUUUCGCCUAUAUUUCAUAAAUGCAAUAAAAAAUAUAGCAUUUCAUUUAAAAAAAUGA